CUGGCAGUCAUUCACUGUCCGAGUUGUAAAUUGAAGAGAGUGUCAUCCACACUGGACCAUGUCUAAAUUGUAAUGAUCCACAGUCCUUUGAUGGAGUAUCAGAGAGGGUAAUAAUCCCGUCUUUAACGUGGACUCCCAGUGUUUAUGUGAUGCAUUCUCUCAGAGUCGAGUAGUUUGGGAAUGCUGCUCUAAUGGGAGGUAAACUCCUUCUAAAGCUAAAUAUUGGCGAGAGACCGAUAGCGAACAAGUACCGUGAGGGAAAGAUGAAAAGAACUCUGAAAAGAGAGUCAAACAGAACGUGAAAUUGCUGAAAGGGAAGCGUUUGGAGUCAGAUGCGUCUUCAUGGAAUAACGACUCAGUUAGCAGAGACUGAGGUCAGUGACUUGAAGAUGGGCCAGCACUCACGUAGACCAUUGAAAAAGGGGUCAUUGGAAUGUAGCUCAAUUUAUUGAGUGAUUAUAGCCUUGAUUCAUAUACAAUGUGUGUUAUGUGAAAUUGACAGCACGACUUCA
This 512-nucleotide ribosomal RNA is filed under the name Craterellus tubaeformis. RNAcentral's name for it is "LSU rRNA". It matches the Rfam family "Eukaryotic large subunit ribosomal RNA", at positions 122 to 619 of the family's 3401-position model. Lineage: Eukaryota; Fungi; Basidiomycota; Agaricomycetes; Cantharellales; Hydnaceae. The record is from RNAcentral.